AGUGAACGCUGGCGGUAGGCCUAACACAUGCAAGUCGAACGGCAGCACAGUAAGAGCUUGCUCUUACGGGUGGCGAGUGGCGGACGGGUGAGGAAUACAUCGGAAUCUACUUUUUCGUGGGGGAUAACGUAGGGAAACUUACGCUAAUACCGCAUACGACCUACGGGUGAAAGCAGGGGAUCUUCGGACCUUGCGCGAUUGAAUGAGCCGAUGUCGGAUUAGCUAGUUGGCGGGGUAAAGGCCCACCAAGGCGACGAUCCGUAGCUGGUCUGAGAGGAUGAUCAGCCAAACUGGAACUGAGACACGGUCCAGACUCCUACGGGAGGCAGCAGUGGGGAAUAUUGGACAAUGGGCGCAAGCCUGAUCCAGCCAUACCGCGUGGGUGAAGAAGGCCUUCGGGUUGUAAAGCCCUUUUGUUGGGAAAGAAAAGCAGCAGGUUAAUACCCCGCUGUUCUGACGGGACCCAAAGAAUAAGCACCGGCGAACUUCGU
Molecule: ribosomal RNA, 491 nt
Filed under: uncultured bacterium
Lineage: Bacteria
Description: partial 16S ribosomal RNA
Rfam family: Bacterial small subunit ribosomal RNA
Source: RNAcentral